This 23-nucleotide non-coding RNA is filed under the name Arabidopsis thaliana (thale cress). The record is from RNAcentral. Lineage: Eukaryota; Viridiplantae; Streptophyta; Magnoliopsida; Brassicales; Brassicaceae.
GGGUAUAUUGGUCGUGGCGUGUC